This 280-nucleotide ribosomal RNA is filed under the name uncultured bacterium. RNAcentral's name for it is "partial 16S ribosomal RNA". It matches the Rfam family "Bacterial small subunit ribosomal RNA", at positions 73 to 354 of the family's 1533-position model. The record is from RNAcentral.
AAGUGGAAAAGUUGAUAACUUAGUGGCGGACGGGUGAGUAACGCGUGGGUAACCUGCCUUACACAGGGGGAUAACACUUAGAAAUAGGUGCUAACACCGCAUGACAGGCGGGGGCGCAUGCCCCGGCCUUGAAAACUCCGGUGGUACGGGAUGAGCCCGCGUCCGAUUAGCCAGUUGGCGGGGUAACGGCCCACCAAAGCGACGAUCGGUAGCCGGCCUGAGAGGGUGGACGGCCACAUUGGGACUGAGACACGGCCCAAACUCCUACGGAAGGCAGCAG